This 274-nucleotide ribosomal RNA is filed under the name uncultured bacterium. Its description in RNAcentral is "partial 16S ribosomal RNA". It matches the Rfam family "Bacterial small subunit ribosomal RNA", at positions 523 to 796 of the family's 1533-position model. The record is from RNAcentral.
AUACAGAGGGUGCGAGCGUUAAUCGGAUUUACUGGGCGUAAAGCGCGCGUAGGCGGCUAAUUAAGUCAAAUGUGAAAUCCCCGAGCUUAACUUGGGAAUUGCAUUCGAUACUGGUUAGCUAGAGUGUGGGAGAGGAUGGUAGAAUUCCAGGUGUAGCGGUGAAAUGCGUAGAGAUCUGGAGGAAUACCGAUGGCGAAGGCAGCCAUCUGGCCUAACACUGACGCUGAGGUGCGAAAGCAUGGGGAGCAAACAGGAUUAGAGACCCGAGUAGUCC